CCGGCGACCGGCGCACGGGUGAGUAACACGUAUGCGACCUGCCCCCCGCAGGGGGAUAACCGGGAGAAAUCCCGACUAAUACCGCGUAACGCCGCGGACCUGCAUGGGUCUGCGGCCAAAGGAAGCGAUUCCGGCGGGGGAUGGGCAUGCGGCGCAUUAGCUAGUCGGCGGGGUAACGGCCCACCGUGGCGACGAUGCGUAGGGGUUCUGAGAGGAAGGCCCCCCACACUGGAACUGAGACACGGUCCAGACUCCUACGGGAGGCAGCAG
RNAcentral lists this ribosomal RNA (270 nucleotides) under uncultured bacterium. RNAcentral describes it as "partial 16S ribosomal RNA". It matches the Rfam family "Bacterial small subunit ribosomal RNA", at positions 88 to 354 of the family's 1533-position model. The record is from RNAcentral.